Molecule: long non-coding RNA, 5906 nt
Organism: Stomoxys calcitrans (stable fly)
Lineage: Eukaryota; Metazoa; Arthropoda; Insecta; Diptera; Muscidae
Exons: 3
Source: RefSeq, a predicted model, not a curated record
UAAGCGGAAUUUGUGGCUGGAACACUUGGAGCAAUGUAAUUUAAGCACCGGUGUAGGCAAACUAUGGUCUACUGCUAAGUCACUCUUGCACCCCGGUAGACGGGAUGACAGGACCUCAGUCACUUUUGGCGAAAUAAACGUGACUGAUCCGAAGAGAUGCGCCAGGUUGUUCAACCGUCAAUUUAUGUUGCAUCCCGAGAGACAGGGCAAGGCAAAUCAUCUAAGGCGUUUUGCCCCGACGGAAUCUCUACAUUGAUGUUCAAGGAUCUGGAGAGUACAACAACAGCUUUGCAUACCAUCACCACACACAUUUGCCGUGGCUUCAAUCAGCCCAGGCCAUGUGAUAGUCCUCGUGUCACUGGACCUAUCAAAGGCAUUCGACACGGUCAGCCAUGCCAAAUUAUUUGAUCACAUCGCCAACACGUCCCUCCAGCCAGGCCUGAAACGAUGGGUCGCACAUUAUCUGUGUGGUCGCCAGUCAUUUGUGGAAUUUAGGGAUAAGAAGUCGAAGCACCGUAGAGUGAAACAGGGAGUUCCCCAAGGUGGAGUGAUAUCUCCGUCACUGUUUAACCUCUACCUAUACUCCAUUCCACCCCCUCCAGAGGGCAUAGAGAUCGUAUAAUAUGCGGACGAUCGUACGAUCAUGGCAUCAGGCCCCCCAACCAUUGAUGACAUCUGCGAUAGGCUGAACGUCUACCUCAACGAACUUGCCUCAUAUUUCGCUGCAAGAAAUCUGAAGAUAUCCGCCACCAGAUCUUCAGCCACAUUGUUCACUACAAAUAAGCGUAAGGUGAGCUGACUGUGAAGAAGAAAUGAUUCCGACCAUCAAGUGUCUCAAAAUACUUGGCGUCACAUUUGACAGCUCUUACACAUUCUCCCCAGAUGACAGCAAUCUGCGAUAAAGUCAAAAGUAGAAACAAGGUCCUCAAGUCACUUGCUGGCAGCAUUUGAGGUGCAAAUAAAGAAACCUUGUUGACCACGUACAAAGCAAUUAGCCGUUCUGUGGUAAGUUUUGCAGCGCCAGUGUGGUCUCGUCAACUUUGUGACACGCAGUGGAAUAAUAUUCAGAUCUAUCAGUAUGCCGCCUCCGAACGGGCUGUCUUCUCAGUUCUCAAGUGGACCACCUCCAUCAGGCGACUUUGUCCUAUCCUACCAGUACGAAGACAUAACUACAUGCUGUCUGUCCAUCCAAAUCAUCAUCUUGUGGAUAGAUAUCCACCGCCCAGAAGCCUUCAGGUAGGUCUAUAUGAUCUAGAGCGUGAGGUUCAGCGAUACAAGAGAAAACCUCUAGAUCAAGCGACAUAUCAUGCGGGUCUAAACAACAUUCAUGCAGACAUGGUAGCAGAUGCGGUAAUUGGCUACCGGGUGAAUGUAGUCCUUGGAGAACGACCGCCACCCAUUGCACUCGAAGAAUUCAACCUCCCCCGGCAAAGCAGAGUAGUUCUGGCUCAAUUACGUUCCGGCAGAUGCAGCCGCCUCAAUUCCUACAGAGCUAGGAUUGAUGCGACGUGCAAGAUAUAUGUCCCGAUUGUAACCAGGGACCGCACGAUACAUGUCACCUGUUUAACUGCCCGGCCUGAUCCAGAUCCCUGUGGACGCACCCCAUCUUAGUCGCAGAGUUCCUGGGCCUUGACACUCAACAGAUGUGGGGAAGUUCAGAUGUCAACGAAAGGGGGGAUAAACCGAUCUUUAUUAGCAGGAACAGGCAGAAGGUACUAGAUAUUACCUUUGUAUCGGAUGAAGAAUUUGCGACUGGAAAGUGUUGGAUGACCACAGCUUCUCUGAUCAUCGUUAUAUUAGUUUCAGCCUUGGAAAAAAUACUGCAGAAGUGGUCCUUCGGCUAAACAGAGGAGCGUUUUAGGAUGAAUUUCGGCACAAAUUCUGCAUGUCUAUCCCUUCUAGACCAGAAAAGGAAGUGGCAACAGCGGAGGAUACAAUGGAUCACGAAGGCCCUGAAUGACUCGCUCGUGUCAGCAUGUCCAAGUGUCCACCAGUUCUUGGUGAACCCAAGAACUGGUUGGUCUAAGGAAGGACUGCAGAAAACUCUUCGACAGAGCGAAAACCACAAGAGCAUCACACGAUUGGGACAUCUAAAAGGCUGAGAUAAGAAAAUAUAAGGGCGAGCUGAGAAAGGCUCAGAACAAAUCCAGGGUAAAGUUCUGCAGCUCUGUGGUGGAUACAUCUGAGGCCUCUAGGCUAAGGAAGAUUCUGUUCUCGAGACCUUUUAGGGUGAGGUAUAUGCAUAUAGUAAAGGGUAUAGUCAGGCUAAGGAAGAUUCUGUUCUCGACACCUUUUAGGGUGAGGUAUAUGCAUAUAGUAAAGAGUAUAGUCAGAAAAUGUAUGGACAAUGUCUAGUGAGGAAACACUAGAACUCUUAGUUGAUACACAUUUCCCGAGAAAUUCUCCAAUGGACAACGUGACCCCAGAAGAAGUUGUCACUGGCAUGCAUUCGUCGGAGGUUAUUAGGGAAAUUGUGUCUAAGCCGAAAAUCCUUUGGGCAAUAAGAAGUUUCGAUGUAAAACCGACGACAAUCUUGGUGGAGUUGGAUUUCUAGGCAUUAACUCUACCGCAAGAAAGUUUAUUUAUAACUUACUUACUAAAAAAUGUAUUACGGCAGGCUUAGGAUCUGUGGAUCUAAAAACAUGGGUAAGCAGAGGAACACCUUAAGGAGGUAUACUGUCUCCUCUACUUUGGAAUAUAGCCGUUAACAAUAUAUUAUUGUCUCUGGAACAAAAAGCGUAUGCUGAUGACGUAGCAAUUGCGGUUAGGGGAAAGUUUCCCAGCACUCUAAGAGAUAUAUUUCAGGAUGCUCUACGUGCAAUAGCGAAGUGGGUUACCGAAAGUGGUCUAGGUGUAAAUCCAUGCAAAACCGAAGUAGUUCUUUUCAUCCGAAGAUACAAGUUGUCUGCAGUGGCACCUGUCUCCUUGGGAGGAGAGAAUAUUCCAUUUACAGAGAGCGCAAAAUACAUGGGUGUUUUGUUGGACAGGAAAUUGAACAUUUUGGUCAUAUCGAAACGGUUUCCUUACCACUGCCGUAUGUAUCAAUCGGAGAUCCUUUUAAUUCAGCAAGUGGUGGAAUGGUGAAGAUACAAUGUCUUAACGACGAUUGGCAUAAAUAUCUUUUCAGGCAGCCAUUAAACCCCUGGAGAUCGUAUUUCUGAACACAAAAACCGCCCUCGACUGUCGCAGAUCUCUCAACGAGAUGGCUGAACUGUUCAAAAUUCACCUGUUCUGGGUGCCGGGCCACAGCGAUAUCCCAUUGAAAUGUAAAACGGACGAGCUUGCGAGACUAGGAACUACCCUACACAUUCCAGGGAUACUAGAAUUUGUGGGUAUGCCUCUCGCGACAUGUAAGCUAAGUUUUAAGGAUCAGGCCCGAAGGAAACCGAAUGAUAGAUGGUCACAAAGAGCGGAAUGUGAGCAUUCCAAAACUAUGUGGCCUAAUCUAAACUUGAAGAGGUCUACCGUUUUGCUGUCACUGGCUAGAACAGUCUCAGUCACUAUCUACUUGGAAAACAUUCUGACAGGCUGAAGCUUACCAGUAACGACUUCUGCAGAAGCUGUGAGGACAUCGAAGAAGAAGAGACUAUAGAACACAUUCUGUGAGUGUGUCCCGCACUGGCAGUCAAAAGGAGUUCCAUUUUUUUUAUUUGUAAUUAAUCAAUCAAACUCCCUUAGUGGUAGUUCUAACUUCUUUGAGAAGUUCUCAUUUGUUUGAUUUAGCGGAUGUGAACAUUCGGAAGGAAGAUUGCACUAUACAAGACACUGAUACUAUCCGUACUGUUAUAUGGUUCUGAAGCAUGGGUACUUGUGAAAGCAGAUGAGGCAGUGCUUGGAGUAUUUGAGAGAAAGAUUCUUCGUAUAUUCUCUAUUAACGUAAACUAGUCCAUGUUUGAAUAUAUAGGUGAUAUAUGAACCACGAGCUGUAUGACGACGAUAGCAUAGUUACACGCAUCAAAAUACAACGGCCGCGUUGUCUAGGCAUGUUGUCAAAAUGGAUGAAGAAGCUCCAGCAAAGAAGUCUUUUGAAGGCAAACACGGUGGUACACGCAAACCGGGGGACCAAAAGCCCGAUGGAAAGAUCAAGUUGUGGGAGACACCUCGAAACUUGGUGUUAAAGAUUUUAGAAUGAGCGCAGAAGAUCGAUGCGGCUGGAACGCUAUUCUACGUUCGGCUAGUGGAGCAAAUAUUCUGUCAUACCCAAUUAAAGUAAAGUAAGAACAUUCGGAAUUUGUUGGAGUUUUUAACGCGACCUGGAUGGUUCAACGGUAGGAACUAGAAGGAAUCAUCCUUCUUCUGUUCCUGUGGUAUUACAAUUGACGAAAACGUCUAUGUGAGUCUGAUGGCAGUCUGCCACUUAAACCUAACCUAUUCCAUUAAGUAACAACUGCAAACUUCUCACAUGUCAAUGAGUACUAUCCGAUUCAAGUUUAUAGCUCAAGGAUAAGGGGCAUCCUUUUUAAAGCAGAGUCCAAAUAACGGUCCGCAGUAUGACACCUCUUUGGGGAGAAGUUUUUGGACAACUUACUGUCCAUAAAAACCUGGACGUUCUUGCGUCAACACUGUACCAUCUUAAGUUGUUGAUGAUGGUCGGAAAGUUUUUUUCUAUAUAUUACGAUAAUGUUCAGAGAAGUCGUCAAUGGCUUCCUUACACUCUAAGACUGUUCUUGACCCUACCGCCUUGGUUGCUGUAACCUUAAGGGCAGUUUACUAUCGACAAUGUGGCAUUAAAACCGAACCACCUGACCUAUUCCUGCUGAGGUGUGCAAGAGGGGGCAGAACUGUCUCUGGGUUCUCAAUAUAAGCGCCUAAUCUAGUUCUUUCUUCGAGCUUUGAUCCGUCCGCGUAGCAUGAAUUAUUAGAUUUCCAUCAAUGGAAGAAUGUGACGAUACAAAGUCUCCGGUACACGAACUCAAUUGUUGUUGUCGCUAUUUUUGUAUGUGGUGUUCGUCAAGCUCCAUAGGUGAGCAAGCUUGUUCUGGUCCAUGCGACCGAUAGCGGCGGCCAUUGGUUAUUUAAAGGCGCUAAUAACUCGACUUGUUAUAUUGAGAAUCACAAGCAGUCAGUAUUUAAGCUUGAGCCCAUACCGACCGGCCUCUCAUUAAGAAUCUUCACUUGACAAGAUAUAGUCGCCAAGAAAAUAGUCGACAUACAAACUUCUUUAAUUUUUGUCGUAUUUGGCGGAAAUUUGGUACGUACUGCACACUUGUGAUCUUUAAUAUUCAUGCUUAGAUAAUUCUAUUAAUACGCAUUCACAUUCACGCAUUAAUACGAUUACCAAUUGUAAUCCCAUGGCAGCUGGUUGUACGUACCGGAUUGACCCGAUGGACUUCCUUAUCGGCAAGGGCUGCCGCCUCAGUGUAUAACUCACUGCUACAACAACAACAACAACCAAUUGUUUAUGUAUACUGCGGCCAUUUUUUUAUUAAGGUACCACCCAGCGCUAACAGACACCGGUACUUAGGUGGGGAUACAAUGCCAGAUAUGAACCAACUUAGGGGCAUGGUAUGGAAACAAUUAAGGAUUUUAACGCAAAACAAGCCUAUUACUGGCGCAGGUGUGGCAUCGGGCGGAUUAAUAUCCGCACCCUAACCUAAUAGUUAUCGAUGUUUUUCGAAUAUUCAAUUGCGUUUAUGAAUUUUUCACAAAAAAAAAAUAACUGAACGGAAGAGCUGAUUAAUAUAUACUUUUACAAUAAAGUAACUUUUGGGGGGAACUUACUUUCAAACACAUUGAAAAUUUUUAAAUAUUCUUUCUUAUUGGCCUAUGAACUAAUCGAUGAAUUAGUAACGUUCAUUUUUGAAAACAGAUAUUUUUAUUCAACUAUUCCCUUAGAGUUUACAUAAACAAUAAACCGACCAGUUAAUAAAUUUCUAAUUUUUAUUUUAACAUAAAUCAAAAUUAUU